CAGUAGCCGCGGGAAUACGUAGGGUGCGAGCGUUGUCCGGAAUUACUGGGCGUAAAGAGCUCGUAGGUGGUCUGUCGCGUCAUUUGUGAAAGCCCGGUGCUUAACUCCGGGUUGGCAGGUGAUACGGGCAUGACUGGAGUACUGUAGGGGAGACUGGAAUUCCUGGUGUAGCGGUGAAAUGCGCAGAUAUCAGGAGGAACACCGGUGGCGAAGGCGGGUCUCUGGGCAGUAACUGACGCUGAGGAGCGAAAGCAUGGGUAGCGAACAGGAUUAGAUACCCCCGUAGUCCCUGUCUCUUAUU
Molecule: ribosomal RNA, 301 nt
Filed under: uncultured bacterium
Lineage: Bacteria
Description: partial 16S ribosomal RNA
Rfam family: Bacterial small subunit ribosomal RNA
Source: RNAcentral